AUGCAUCGGAACGUGCCCAGUCGUGGGGGAUAACGUAGCGAAAGUUACGCUAAUACCGCAUACGACCCGAGGGUGAAAGCGGGGGAUCGCAAGACCUCGCGCGAUUGGAGCGGCCGAUGUCGGAUUAGCUAGUUGGUGGGGUAAAGGCCUACCAAGGCGACGAUCCGUAGCGGGUCUGAGAGGAUGAUCCGCCACACUGGGACUGAGACACGGCCCAGACUCCUACGGGAGGCAGCAGUGGGGAAUUUUGGACAAUGGGGGCAACCCUGAUCCAGCCAUGCCGCGUGCGGGAAGAAGGCCUUCGGGUUGUAAACCGCUUUCGGACGGAAAGAAAUCGCCUUGGCUAAUACCUGAGGUGGAUGACGGUACCGUAAGAAGAAGCACCGGCUAACUACGUGCCAGCAGCCGCGGUAAUACGUAGGGUGCGAGCGUUAAUCGGAAUUACUGGGCGUAAAGCGUGCGCAGGCGGAUUGUUAAGCAAGAUGUGAAAUCCCCGGGCUUAACCUGGGAACUGCAUUUUGAACUGGCAGUCUGGAGUGCGGCAGAGGGGGGUGGAAUUCCACGUGUAGCAGUGAAAUGCGUAGAGAUGUGGAGGAACACCGAUGGCGAAGGCAACCCCCUGGGCCUGCACUGACGCUCAUGCACGAAAGCGUGGGUAGCAAACAGGAUUAGAUACCCUGGUAGUCCACGCCCUAAACGAUGUCAACUGGUUGUUGGGUGCGUAAGUACUCAGUAACGAAGCUAACGCGUGAAGUUGACCGCCUGGGGAGUACGGCCGCAAGGUUGAAACUCAAAGGAA
This 799-nucleotide ribosomal RNA is filed under the name uncultured bacterium. RNAcentral describes it as "bacterial SSU rRNA". It matches the Rfam family "Bacterial small subunit ribosomal RNA", at positions 113 to 909 of the family's 1533-position model. The record is from RNAcentral.